GUGGGGAAUAUUGGACAAUGGGCGCAAGCCUGAUCCAGCCAUGCCGCGUGAGUGAUGAAGGCCUUAGGGUUGUAAAGCUCUUUUGUCCGGGAAGAUAAUGACUGUACCGGAAGAAUAAGCCCCGGCUAACUUCGUGCCAGCAGCCGCGGUAAUACGAAGGGGGCUAGCGUUGCUCGGAAUCACUGGGCGUAAAGGGCGCGUAGGCGGACUCUUAAGUCGGGGGUGAAAGCCCAGGGCUCAACCCUGGAAUAGCCUUCGAUACUGAGAGUCUUGAGUUCGGAAGAGGUUAGUGGAAUUGCGAGUGUAGAGGUGAAAUUCGUAGAUAUUCGCAAGAACACCAGUGGCGAAGGCGGCCAACUGGUCCGAUACUGACGCUGAGGCGCGAAAGCGUGGGGAGCAAACAGGAUUAGAUACCCCGGUAGUCC
Molecule: ribosomal RNA, 425 nt
Filed under: uncultured bacterium
Lineage: Bacteria
Description: partial 16S ribosomal RNA
Rfam family: Bacterial small subunit ribosomal RNA
Source: RNAcentral